Etheostoma spectabile (orangethroat darter) is the source of this 398-nucleotide long non-coding RNA. RefSeq lists it as uncharacterized. The transcript is spliced from 3 exons. The record is from RefSeq and is a predicted model, not a curated record. Lineage: Eukaryota; Metazoa; Chordata; Actinopteri; Perciformes; Percidae.
ACCUAACCAACCAAAACAACAAAGGCAACGAACACUAGCCAAUCAAAGGCAGGUCUUCGCGGAAUACCGGUAAGAAAAAAAAAAAAGCUUCUCUUCACUGCGUGGUAGCAGGUAGUCGGGGACUGUUCCUGACUCGCUUAACACGAAUAACCAAGCUUAAAACGUAAAGGUCUUUCUCAUUUCUGAUAUGUCUGAUCUUGGUGGGAUGUGGAACAGAACCUAAUUCUUUGGGGAGCUCAUAUUGUUUUGAUAAAUGCUGAAUUCCAGCGCAUAACAACAAUCCCACUUGAAACAACCUUCAUGGUGCAGUUGGACAGCCAUUUAACCCUGCUGGGGAGGUGUUUCUGGCCAGAAACUAGCCACACAUCUGGCGAUCUUGCAAGAGGUAAACAUGUAUA